ACAGUUUAGUUUAGAUUCGUUUAGAAAAGGAGCUUGCUUCACUUCGCUCAGGGCAUAAGUGUUCUCAAGACUUUUGGGACCUGGUGGAUUGAAGACAUGGUUUUGCUGGCUGUUUGAUUCCAUUUUGGACACAGGGCAGUAAGGAAAGAAUGAUUCAUUUUGACUGUGAUUGCUGGGAAAGAUAUCUUGAAAUGGAGACUGUGAGUAUUUCCUAUUUAUAGGUUGCUAUUUUUGAAAUAAUUAUCAAGUUAAUCACAUGAUGUUGAAGAUAAAGGAGACAGGGUCAUUUGUCAAAUGUCUACCUGGAUGCUUUUCAGCCCUCUCCAAGCCAUGAGAUGGAAGAGUGUCCUUAUAUGAAGACUGCUGGAGUUCCAUUGGCUGCCUUGUCUCUGCUUAAUCCAUUAAGACAACGUUGAAUGUUCCCGGCUCAUAUAUUUAUAAAGGAAAAAAAAGAAGAAGGAAAAAGACUUUGAAAAAUGGAAGUGCCUCAGGCUGUGGCUGGUGUUUGAAGGGCUGCUCCACACAUAUCAAUCAUCCUUUGACAAGAUCUGGAAGAAAAAAAAAAACAACAAAAACCACCCCCCAAAAAGGUGAGGUUCCGAGAUGGUAUCUGGAUGAUGAACACAGAGAGAGCUUCCAUUGUUCCUCUUCUCCUUUGUGCAGAGGAAGCCGUUGGCUGAGUUCAGAAAAAUGUUAAGUGCAUAUCCCGGACCAGUUUGGGUCUCCAGACUGAAUGAAGCCAGUCAGCUGGGAUUCUGGUUGAGUCUCAGACUCAGAAGAAACUUGUGGGAUUAAGUGGUUUUUCUGGAAAAUAUUGGCUGAAAACCACAUUCACCCCAAAUUGCUGUGUGAAUGAAACACAUGGGUUUUCUUUGUGUUUUAAAUAAUUCCAGUGGUGGCCUCAAGCUUCUAUUUCCCUGUGUUUUUAUGGAGUUAACCAAAAUAGCUUUGUACAAAUAACAAAAAGUAUGAAAAAGUAUAUGCACCUUGUCAUUGCUUUGCCAAUUGGAAAUACUCUUAAGACAUAUGAACAACAAUAAAAAGCUGUGGCUUCAGCUUUUAAAAUGCUGAAGACAUGGCUUAUUGCAGAAUCUCUGUCUUAUAUUUGGUUACUUUUCAGUUUUUUUAUUUGCCUAUUUCAAGCAUGACAUUUUUCUACUUCUCACAUAGAAAGUAUUCAGUUAUAGUCUUCAAAUAUAUUUAAUUGUAUCUGAUGCUCAAAUGUGCCACAUUCUAACAAGGAGGAGGAAUAAUGUUGGUUUUAAGUGGUAAUAUUAUAUUUUUGUGGUUGCCUAUUGGGAAAUUUCUAAUGUAGUUCUUCAUCUUGUACUUUUAAGAGAUUAGAGGUUUUUGAAAGGUUUAUGGAAAUGCUGAAAAUAAAGGUAAAUCUCUUUCCUCUAAA
This is a long non-coding RNA of Homo sapiens (human), 1402 nucleotides long. Ensembl annotates it as regulator of chondrogenesis RNA. Its record names the gene ROCR. Lineage: Eukaryota; Metazoa; Chordata; Mammalia; Primates; Hominidae. The record is from Ensembl.